UGGAUGCAGCUGUGACUGAAUUUUGUGGUGUCACAAUUAGUGUUUUACCUUUAAAAAUACAAGGAUUACCCAGCUGUUAUAUGGUGCAGGAGUGACUGGCUGGAUCUUGGUCUUACAAUUAAGCAGAAAGAAGAGCAAAGAAUUUGAGGAGAGCCCACACUUGUACCCCACACAGAAGUGUGCUCGGUCCUUAACUCUGGCAAACACGUAAAGAACUGAAAAAUUCCCUGUCUUCGGGUAUUUCUGAAUCCUGUAUCCCAAGGGUCAUUUGUGCAAUUAAUUGUUCCAGACAGACAUCAAUAGGAGAUUUAGUUUUUUGUUUACCGGUGUUCUGUGCUACAUAAUACCCAAAGCAAACCCUGAUCCGGUAUGAAUUGCAGAGUUUCACUGAAGACAAUGGUACAAUAGUGCACCCUUGUAACUGAAAGCCAGGGAUAGGAAGCUUGUGUUCUCACAGAAGUCCCACGGCAGAACGGUGUUUCAGGACACCAAGAUCUGGGCAUAUAAGUGUUUCUCUUACACACCUGCAGAAGCAUAUUUCUGCAUUACACAUCUGCCAGAGCUGACCGGUCCUUUGCCAGUGUCCAAAGGUCAUCGGUGAAGCUGACAAAAGGAUCAUCACUUCCUUGUUUGUGCUCAGCAGCUGGAUACGAGCAUUCAGCUUACAGAUGGCCAUGAACCCUCCUUGCUGUCAGCUACAAAUUCUGCAAGAGUUGAGGAGUGACCCACAAGCCAGGUAACAGGUGCAGGAAAUGCCACUGAACUCAGAAGCUUUACAGAAAUGAUUAGUGCUGGGAAUAGCAGACAAUGAAU
RNAcentral lists this long non-coding RNA (813 nucleotides) under Anser brachyrhynchus (Pink-footed goose). RNAcentral's name for it is "lncRNA (ENSABRG00000019760.1)". The record is from RNAcentral. Lineage: Eukaryota; Metazoa; Chordata; Aves; Anseriformes; Anatidae.